ACUCCUGGCAGCAGCCCAGGGCCGCACCGACUAGGGCUCCCAGGGGAGGCGAAGGUCCGUCCCGAGGAGGUCGGGAGAAAUCCCCCUGAGUGCGGGAUGCUAUCUAUACCGGGCAAGUCCCGCGUCGUGCGGAGGCCGGACUCCUUUGCAGGUAUAAAUAAUAACACACAUCCACUGUACAAGGUACGCUCACUAUUGACAAUUUACCCGGGACAGUUGCUACUUCCCGUGAACCUUACUCACCGGAAAACUAACUUGGCCGUCGGAGCGCCCUCGGGGACAACCCUCGGGCCCCCUUUGUUAGCUCCUUUUCUCUGUUUUGCAGAUCUUGGAUCAGCUCUCCCAUCGACACCCCGAGCUGAUCAGCUGUUGGAAGAUGUAGGCGGCUGGAAGCUCUGAGUUUAUCCACAAAGUCAUCUUUCUAUCAAAGACCUGCGGCUGGUGAAUCCGAUCAAAUAAUUGGUGUUUGCCAAAGUUUGGGCCCAAGGAACCAAAAAAAUCUGCUAAAAGUUGCGAGGAAAUGUGAAAUUUUUGUUGCACGUUAACCAUGGAAGGACGGGUGGAAUGCGAUAGGCUACUUUGUGUGAGAUAAUUAGUGUGACCGGACUUUAAAUCUUUAUGAUCCAACUAUCAAAUCCAUAGUUGUUUAAGAAAUAGUUGCUUAACAAGCAAGCGAACCAGGUCUGACAGUGAAUUUUUCAUUGGCUGAACCACUUUUAGGCGUCUAA
Molecule: RNA transcript, 728 nt
Organism: Coffea arabica (coffee)
Lineage: Eukaryota; Viridiplantae; Streptophyta; Magnoliopsida; Gentianales; Rubiaceae
Source: RefSeq, a predicted model, not a curated record